AUGACAACGAUCAUGGCUGAAGUAACAGAACAAGGGACUUUGAUUAUGCUAUCAGUUAUAAUAAUGGCUGGACAUGGUAAUGCUAUCUUAGGGAAGAUUGACCCUCAGCAGAAUAUGUGGGUCACCUGGGCUAAUGAAACCAGACAGAGUUCAUUUUGUCUGUCUCUUGCUUCUGCAUCUGAUCCUUUUAGAACGUGCUUAUUUGGGGUCCCAAUAGGGGAUCCAAAGGAACUGAGUGAAAUGUUAGCACCAUAUUCUGCCAGUGUUACUUUACUCACUAGAUCCUUUUCUGCUAAUGUCUCGGAUGGAGUAGUUGCUGCCUUGCAAGCUCUUAAUAACUCAUUGCCAUGGGACCCUCAAGAACUGGAUCUCCUGGGGUCUGUGGUAGUGGGGAAUAGCAGUAGUAACUGGACACAAACAUGCUUUGUACUCCAUGAAGGGAAACAAAAUAAAGCGCACUGGACCAACAUAACAUCGAGGACCCCUGGAUUUGAGGCCAAUGGACAUUACUGUGGAUGGAACAACACCGGGAACAUUAGUGUACCAUUUGGGGCGUAUGAAAUAGGUGACACCAAUUCGAUCUGGUUUCAAAGUCAGGCCAAAGCUUUGCCACCUGGCAUGUUUUUAAUCUGUGGGGACCGUGCAUGGCAAGGAAUACCAGCUAAUGCUUUUGGGGGACCGUGUUACCUAGGACGACUCACACUUUUCGUUCCAGAUUUGCACUCGUGGCAGAACUCGACAGGGAGCAGAAGAAUUAAACGAGAAUUAAAAACUUUGGGUUCUGACUGCAAUGAUAAUGUAGAAUUGUGGGGUCCAGCAAAAAGAUUCUUUGCUUCUUUAGUGCCUGGUGUGGGAACUGCACACGCUUUGACUAACAUUAAUAGGCUUGCUUGUUGGGCUGUUAAACAAUCAAAUGUAACAACACAAGUUCUUUCUGAAAUGUCGCAAGAUAUGGGGAGCAUAAGACAUGCUGUGUUACAAAAUAGAGCUGCAAUUGAUUCCUUGCUACUAGCUCAAGGACAUGGGUGUGAAGAUGUAGAAGGAAUGUGUUGCUUUAAUCUCUCUGAUCAUGGGCAAUCAAUUCACAAUCAAUUAAAAUGGUUAAUGGAUCAUACACAAAAAAUUACGAUACAGAAUAAUUGGUUUGAUGAUUGGCUUAAAUCUGUCUUUGGAAAUGUAGGGGGAUGGGUUUUUAACUUAAUCAAAGAGGGACUUCGCUUUUUGCUUAUAAUUGUAUUGAUUAUAAUUGCUGCGCAGGUAGUCUUUAGCUGCUUAUCUAGGAAACUAGAACAACUCACAAAGAAGGUGUUUGUAGCCCAAAAUAAAAACGGGGGAAUUGUGGAGGAAUGGGUAAGUGAAGUAGGUCAUGUGGAUGUUGAGCAGCUGGGAGGCCGCGAGGUAACAAAGUAUCGAACACAGCUCAAAUGA
This 1428-nucleotide long non-coding RNA is filed under the name Anas platyrhynchos (mallard). RNAcentral describes it as "lncRNA (ENSAPLG00020002542.1)". Lineage: Eukaryota; Metazoa; Chordata; Aves; Anseriformes; Anatidae. The record is from RNAcentral.